This 666-nucleotide long non-coding RNA is filed under the name Bos indicus x Bos taurus (hybrid cattle). Its description in RNAcentral is "lncRNA (ENSBIXG00000016842.1)". The record is from RNAcentral. Lineage: Eukaryota; Metazoa; Chordata; Mammalia; Artiodactyla; Bovidae.
AUGGGCUUAGUCGCCUGGAUGCAUGGGGGUCUUAGUUCCCUGACCAGGGAUCAAACCCGUGUCCCCUGCAUCGAAAGGCAGAUUCUUAACCACUGGACCACCAGGGAAGUCCCAGAGAGACUGUUCUCAGGUUAUAAUUUUCACUUUGGCUUGAAUAAAGAUUUUCAUUUCUUUCUUAGAUCAACUGAUGAAGCUUUUCAUCAUAACGAUAAUGUCGGCAACCGCAAACUACUGGAGUCUGCGAAGUGCUGUGCACGUUACCCUGGAGGCCUGGCAGCAGGGUUGGGGGCUGUCAGCUGUUUCACAGGGACGAUCUCUCUCCCUUCCUGGAGGGGCAGCUGGCUACGAGGUGGGUCCUCCCUUAGGACAAGUCCAUCCCCCGACCAGGAUGCCAGGAAGAGCAGAAACGCCGCUUCCCCAGCUCUGCCCCCAGCUACUUCACCCACGGAGGGCAGCUCCAGCACUCCGGGUGUCGGGUGACGGUUCCCGGGUGGGCACCUUGUGUCAUGAGACGUGGCUGCUGCUCUGACGUUCGCAGACUCAGAGCAGCCACUGAGUUACCAGCUGUCGAAGGAGAAGCCCACAGCUCCUGAGAACUCGGGCCUGUCACGCUGUCUCCUGGAGACAACAGUGAGCGGAGAGAAAGUCAAUAAAAAUCACGUCCGA